AGUGACGUCAAGUCCUCAUGGCCUUUAUGACCAGGGCUACACACGUACUACAAUGGCCGAUACAAAGGGCAGCGACACUGCGAGGUGAAGCCAAUCCCGUAAAAUACGGUCUCAGUCCGGAUUGGAGUCUGCAACUCGACUCCAUGAAGUUGGAAUCGCUAGUAAUCGUGGAUCAGCAUGCCACGGUGAAUACGUUCCCGGGCCUU
Molecule: ribosomal RNA, 206 nt
Filed under: uncultured Desulfobulbus sp.
Lineage: Bacteria; Pseudomonadati; Thermodesulfobacteriota; Desulfobulbia; Desulfobulbales; Desulfobulbaceae
Description: partial 16S ribosomal RNA
Rfam family: Bacterial small subunit ribosomal RNA
Source: RNAcentral